RNAcentral lists this ribosomal RNA (235 nucleotides) under uncultured Candidatus Saccharibacteria bacterium. Its description in RNAcentral is "partial 16S ribosomal RNA". It matches the Rfam family "Bacterial small subunit ribosomal RNA", at positions 584 to 818 of the family's 1533-position model. Lineage: Bacteria; Candidatus Saccharimonadota. The record is from RNAcentral.
UAAGUAGGUAGUGAAAGCGUUCGGCUCAACCGGAUAAACAUUACUUAAACUGCAAAGCUAGAGGACAAGAGAGGUCACUGGAAUUCCCUGUGUAGGAGUGAAAUCCGUAGAUAUAGGGAGGAACACCGAUGGCGUAGGCAGGUGACUGGCUUGUUCCUGACACUAAGGCACGAAAGCGUGGGUAGCAAACGGGAUUAGAUACCCCGGUAGUCCACGCCGUAAACGAUGGAUGCUA